AGUGAACGCUGGCGGUAGGCCUAACACAUGCAAGUCGAACGGCAGCACAGUAAGAGCUUGCUCUUACGGGUGGCGAGUGGCGGACGGGUGAGGAAUACAUCGGAAUCUACUUUUUCGUGGGGGAUAACGUAGGGAAACUUACGCUAAUACCGCAUACGACCUACGGGUGAAAGCAGGGGAUCUUCGGACCUUGCGCGAUUGAAUGAGCCGAUGUCGGAUUAGCUAGUUGGCGGGGUAAAGGCCCACCAAGGCGACGAUCCGUAGCUGGUCUGAGAGGAGGAGCAGGAGCACUGGAACUGAGACACGGUGGAGAGCAGGACGGGAGCAAGCAGCGGGGAAGGGUGGAGGAGGGGCGCAAGCCGGAUCCAGCUAUGGCGCGUGUGGGAAGAAGGUCGUAGGAUUGUAAAGCAUUUUAAGUGGGGAGGAAGGGGUGGAGAUGAAUACGCGGCAGUGGGGACGUGACCGAAAGAAUAAGCAACGGCUAACUCUGUG
Molecule: ribosomal RNA, 492 nt
Filed under: uncultured bacterium
Lineage: Bacteria
Description: partial 16S ribosomal RNA
Rfam family: Bacterial small subunit ribosomal RNA
Source: RNAcentral